This 851-nucleotide ribosomal RNA is filed under the name Mniusa incrassata. RNAcentral's name for it is "bacterial SSU rRNA". It matches the Rfam family "Eukaryotic small subunit ribosomal RNA", at positions 455 to 1225 of the family's 1831-position model. The record is from RNAcentral. Lineage: Eukaryota; Metazoa; Arthropoda; Insecta; Coleoptera; Staphylinidae.
CACGGGGAGGUAGUGACGAAAAAUAACGAUACGGGACUCAUCCGAGGCCCCGUAAUCGGAAUGAGUACACUCUAAAUCCUUUUCCAAGGACCCAUUGGAGGGCAAGUCUGGUGCCAGCAGCCGCGGUAAUUCCAGCUCCAAUAGCGUAUAUUAAAGUUGUUGCGGUUAAAAAGCUCGUAGUCGAAUCUGUGUCUCGCGCCGCUGGUUCAUCGCUCGCGGUGUUUAACUGGCGUGCCCGCGAGACGUCCUGCCGGUGGGCUUUUCGAAAUGAUUUAGCUACCCGCGGUCGUUCGAGGCCCAACUCGUAUCAGUUUUGCGCUGGUGCGAAUCCCAUCGCGGUGCUCUUUAUUGAGUGUCGAGGUGGGCCGGCACGUUUACUUUGAACAAAUUAGAGUGCUUAAAGCAGGCCAAUUUUGCCUGAAUAUUGCGUGCAUGGAAUAAUGGAAUAGGACCUCGGUUCUAUUUUGUUGGUUUUCGGAACCCCGAGGUAAUGAUUAAUAGGAACGGAUGGGGGCAUUCGUAUUGCGACGUUAGAGGUGAAAUUCUUGGAUCGUCGCAAGACGGACAGAAGCGAAAGCAUUUGCCAAAAACGCUUUCAUUGAUCAAGAACGAAAGUUAGAGGUUCGAAGGCGAUCAGAUACCGCCCUAGUUCUAACCAUAAACGAUGCCAGCUAGCGAUCCGCCGACGUUCCUCCGAUGACUCGGCGGGCAGCUUCCGGGAAACCAAAGCUUUUGGGUUCCGGGGGAAGUAUGGUUGCAAAGCUGAAACUUAAAGGAAUUGACGGAAGGGCACCACCAGGAGUGGAGCCUGCGGCUUAAUUUGACUCAACACGGGAAACCUCAUCAGGCCC